This 523-nucleotide unclassified non-coding RNA is filed under the name Hevea brasiliensis (rubber tree). The record is from RNAcentral. Lineage: Eukaryota; Viridiplantae; Streptophyta; Magnoliopsida; Malpighiales; Euphorbiaceae.
GGGGAAGGUGAAAGGAAAGCAUCGUUUGGACAAGUACUAUCAUCUUGCCAAAGAACAAGGUUAUCGUUCUAGAGCGGCAUGGAAGCUUAUCCAACUCGAUUCCAAGUUCAGUUUUCUACGUUCAUCACAAUCAGUACUUGAUCUUUGUGCAGCACCUGGGGGUUGGAUGCAAGUUGCUGUUAAACAUGUACCGGUUGGUAGUCUUGUUAUCGGUGUUGAUUUGGAUCCAAUUAGGCCAAUUCGUGGUGCUAUUUCUGUUCAACAGGAUAUUACUACACCUAAAUGUCGUUCAACUAUUAAGAAACUUAUGGCUGAGAAUGGAUGUAGAGCUUUCGAUUUGGUUCUUCAUGAUGGUUCCCCUAAUGUUGGUGGUGCUUGGGCUAAAGAAGCUACUAGUCAGAACUCAUUGGUUAUUGAUUCGGUUAAGCUUGCUACUGAAUUGUUGGCUCCAAAAGGGACUUUUAUUACAAAGAUUUUCAGAUCUCAAGAUUAUAAUGCAGUUCUUUACUGUCUAAGACAGCUU